Halichondria panicea is the source of this 3827-nucleotide long non-coding RNA. RefSeq lists it as uncharacterized. NCBI's taxonomy places the organism in Eukaryota, Metazoa, Porifera, Demospongiae, Suberitida, Halichondriidae. The transcript has 3 exons. The record is from RefSeq and is a predicted model, not a curated record.
UACACUCACAGGUGGAUUCGGUAAAAUGAAUAAACGUAAUCUGGAAGCAAUCAUAAGGUUCACAAAGUACAAUAAAGAGAAAGACCCCAGUAACUGGUAUAGAGCCAAAUUGAUGCUUUAUUUCCCAUGGUACAGUGAAGAAACAGAUUUGUUAGGUGGCUAUUCAACCUUUGAAGAGCAUUUCCGUAAUGUCCAAUCGUCUGUGAUAGCUAAUGAGAAAAAGUACACACUGUCUGACGUAGAAAACAUUGAAAUUGAUGAGGAUGGCCCCCCACAGCAUGCUUGGGAUCAAGUAGCACCGGGUACUGAAGCUGACAGAGCCCAACAUGAAGCUGAAGGUCCUGAAACUCUAACAGAUUUGUCUGAGCAAGACGUUAGGGACAAUAGUGCAUUGUUUACGUCCACUACCUCUAGUAGCUUACAUGUGCGCUAUGAAGGCGUAGCUAAUCAUGGGGAAAUUCCACCUGAUAAAUACAGAAAGCUUUUAAGAGGUCUUAACAGCAAGCAAAAACAAAUUGUCAUGUUUCACCGCAAUUGGUGCAAGAAAGCUGUGAUAGCAUUAAAGCAUGGUAAACCCAUUGAGCCAUACCGUGUGUGUUUGUGAGUGGCCCUGGAGGUGUAGGAAAGACGCAUGUUAUCAAACUGAUACAUUCUGAUACUGUUAAAUUGCUUAGGUUGUCUGGCACAAUAGAACCUGACGAUGUUACAGUUUUGCUUACAGCCCCCACUGGUGCAGCAGCAUUUAUUAUAGGUGGUAUGACGUUACAUUCUGCUCUUGUACUAUAGGUACCAGUAGAUACAGUGGUUUUCAGCCUCUCAAUCACGAUCGUUUAAACUCCCUACGAAGUAAAUUGUCUAAGUUAGCACUACUGAUCAUUGACGAAAUAAGCAUGGUUGGUUCCAACAUGUUGCUAGAAGUGCACAAGAGACUAGAGCAAAUCAAAGCUGUCAUGCCGGAUAGGAGUACUUUUGGUGGUGUCAGUAUAUUAGCAGUAGGAGAUCUUUUUCAAUUACCCCCUGUCUGUCAAACACCUGUUUUUAGUGUCGUCAACGAUAGUUAUGCUAAACUAUACAACUCUGGUUCAUUGUGGUUAGAUGAAUUUCAAAUGAUUGAGCUAGAUGAGAUUAUGAGGCAAAAGGGUGACUCGGUAUUUUGUGAACUUUUGUGUAGGAUUAGAACGGCUACACACAAUGACAAUGACGUCGCUGUGCUAAAGUCCAGGGAAAUUACUCCUCAAAUGCCCAAUUACCCAAACCAUGCUCUACAUGUGUAUAGACUCAAUGCUGAUGUUGAUGAGCGUAACAUAACCAUGUUGAUUGAAUGCCUUGGUUCCAGAAAGUCAGCAAUAUUCAAUAAAGUCUUGCGAUUCUAGAGCUGGUCAAACUAGCCACAUCAACUUGUCAACCCUGUCUGCCAAGAGAUCAGAAACUGGUGGCCUACACGGCAUUUUGAAAAUUGCAAUUGGUGCCAGAGUUAUGCUAACAACCAAUGUUGACGUAGCAGAUGGGCUAGUUAAUGGUGCUAGAGGUGAAAUAGUCAAUAUAGUGAUGGGUGCUGGUAAGGUUACACACAUUCUUGUAAAUUUUGAUCACCCUAAUGUUGGAGCUAAGGCCAGACAAGGUAGUCAAUUUUUGCAAACAUUCCCAACUGCUGUUCCACUAGUAAAACACGAAGCUAUUUUUAAGGCUAAAGGUAAACAAGGCUCUGAAAUUACUCGGUUACAGUUCCCAUUGACUCUAUAGCUUGGGCCACUACUAUACAUAAGGUACAAGGUUUAACACUCGAUGAAAUUGUGGUAGACAUGAAAGGUAGCCGCUUUAGCUCUGGUCAAGCCUAUAUGUAGCAUUCAGUCGUGUUAAAAAGCUUGAAGGUUUGCAUAUAUUGAACUUUAAUGAGAAGGUUAUUAAAGCGAGUGAUGACGUCAAGACUGAAAUGUCUAGAUUAAAUGAUAGGGUACUCAGCCCUUUGUCCGUUGACACAUGUCCUGAAGAUUACAUCACAAUUACAUUACUCAAUGUGAGAUCGCUGCUAGCUAAAGUACCAGACAUUGAAUGUGAUAAAUUAUUUACUUCAGCUGGAAUUCACUGUUUUACUGAAACAUGGUUGCAGUCCGGAAUAGCCAGUCCAUUAAUACAUACAAACCAUCAAUUUUUAAGACUCGAUAGUGUUUCUGGUGAUAGAAAAGGUGGGGUUUUGAUUAGUUUGCCUGAAAAUAUAGAAAUACUGAACUCUUAUGCUUGUGACGUAGAUGGUGUUGCAAUAGAAAUGCUAUGUGCUCUGCUUCAACUACCUAAUGGACAAGCCAUUCAUUUAACUCUUGUGUACCGAUCUCCAAGUGUAUCAAUGAACGAUUUAUUAGGCUACAUGUAUCCCCUGUUGCAGCACCUAAAAAGCUUUAAUGUAUCUAUUGUCCUAGGUGACUUUAAUGUGGACAUUCUAACUAACACUAAUUCACAAUUAGAAGUAUUAAUGCUUCGUCAUGGUUAUUCUCAGCUAGUGCACACUCCCACUACAGACAACGGUACUCUUAUAGACCAUGUAUAUUGCAAUAGCCUAGCACCAGAGCGUGUUCAUACAAAGAUUACUGAUGUGUACUACUCGGAUCACGAUGCAGUUCUCUGCUCCAUUCCCCUCGAAUCUAUCAGUCUAACUACGUGACCUGUACACUUAGUGAGUAUUUGAGGCUAUAUAGCUCAACUUACUUACAUUACUGAAUAUUUCUGAAUAAUACGAGUUUGAGGCACCUAUAAUUAUUCUUGUGUAUGUCCACACUCUGACCAUGUUCUAUGCUAUACCUUCUCUGAGACAAAUUUGCUAAUUGGUUGAAACCAGUGCAUUUUAUACAGCCUCUUCAGCUAGAUUAUCUCUGCCUGGUUUCAACCGUAACUUUAGCAUUCGUUGUACGCUUGUAUACUUUUUCUGGCUUGGCCAAUCUGUUAAUCUAUGACUCAAAUGACUCAAAGUUUCCAAUCUGUUUUGCUGUUAGUCUAUGACUCUAAGACUCAAAUGACUCAAAGUUUCCAAUCUGUUUUGCUGUUAGUCUAUGACUCUAAGACUCAAAUGACUCAAAGUUUCCAAUCUGUUUUGCUGUUAAUCUAUGACUCUAUGACUCAAAUGACUCCUAUGACUCCUAUGACUCCUAUGACUCAAAUGACUCAAAGUUUACUAAGUGUUCAAUUAACUGUUCCUGGUUCCUGUUGAAGACUAAGAAUGUCUACCGCUGCAGUGAGUUAAAUCCAACCAUGGGCCAUCUUCGACUUGUAGUCCCAAGAAAAUAAUUAUUGAUGAACACUGGCUAAUGUAACGAUUUCAAUUUAUUAAUGGCUGUCUCGACAUACUACAACUGUAUACAUUGUACGCAAGAAUUCUAACUAUGAUAAAAUGGCUCUGCGACACUCAAAAAUUGAAGAAAAUUAAUGAACGAACUAUACUUGCAUAGAGACCUCAAUCUGAUAGCUGUCUUCGACGCACAGUUUGUGGCAGAUAACAAACAUACAUCAUACGCAAGAAAAUCGAUAAAACUAUGAACUAUGAUUAUAUAAGAGUGAUACAGCAAAAAUAGAUGUUGCUAUCCUGUUUCUACCUUCGAGCAAUGCUCCCUACUUGAAUUUGGCACUUUUAAUUUUGACAGCCUUCCAAAAGCCACAUGGUCAGCUACUUUCGGCCUGAAGCCAUGUUUAUACGUGCAGUCAAUUUCGCUUUUAUUUAUUUAUUAUUACAACUAUUUUCAGAAUUUAUUUAUACGUCCUUUUUUACACUUACUUUUGUUAUACUAUUUCUCUUAUUUAUUAAACUACCAUUACUACAUCAACACUUACUUACUAUU